ACCCUCUAAAACAGAGGGGAAGUUCCAAGAAAAUUUCUAAUGGGAGCUGCUGACAGAGAUAUAGGAAACACAGAGCUGGAGCGGAUCUCCUGUUAAAGAACAUCUCCAAGGCGCUAUGAACCAUCUGACUAGGCAGUUCGUGAAGACAGAUAAUCAAUGUUAUGACAACCUGUACAGAAGUCAGUUCCAGAUCCACCCUUCACACAAUACCUCUCUCUCAUAUGGAUAGCUGUCUACUAGCAUAUUAUG
Long non-coding RNA from Sinocyclocheilus rhinocerous, 249 nucleotides. RefSeq lists it as uncharacterized. The record is from RefSeq and is a predicted model, not a curated record. The transcript is spliced from 3 exons. NCBI's taxonomy places the organism in Eukaryota, Metazoa, Chordata, Actinopteri, Cypriniformes, Cyprinidae.